CUAAAGUUUCUGAAGAAGUAGAAAGAGAAAGUAAUAAAAAAUUGAAAAGAGUAAAGUUAUUGGGUAAGAAGAAGAGAAGUAGAAAACGAGAACUUCAGUGAUUUAGUAGCCUCAAAUAAAGUCCAUGCCUCGUAUAUUUCUCAUCAAAUUUCAGAGAUUAGGACAGAAUUUUCCCAGCCUCCAUCCUUAUGCCGUCAAAAAUUAAUUUAUUUCUCGAGUUCCAUACUUCCCAUAGUAGGUUUGGAUUCUUUGGGAUGCAACUUGCCAGUGGAGAUUGGUUCCAAAUUCCUACAAUUUCGGAACAAAAAAAGUAGUGCAUGAAGAGUAUAUUAUGGUCUUCCACAACGAAUACAAGCUUCAUCAAUUUGAGGAAUUCUCUGGUGAAGCUUCACUUUAACCGGCAAGGCAUCAUGGAUCUUCCAAAUAAAACUUCAAAUCUUCGGUUGACACUUUAGGUUCCAUAUGGAGUCCAAAUCUGUUUUUUAGCAAAACGGACAUGUAAUUAGUCCAAAGGAGGGUGAUAAAAAAAUGUAAGCUACUGCAUACUCAGUUUUGACUGAGUAUUCCCCUGAUCUACUGUGAAUCCAAAUGGUUCCUUGUUGUUCUGGCAUGCAGUAGCAGCUAUACGGAAUAGAGGAGUGGUACCAAGCCAGGGAUCCUUUAAAAUUCUCGUAGAGGCUGAUUUAGAGACCUUGCGUUUCACACCUUUUUCCAACACCUUCCGCUCCUCCAACAGACUCUGCCAAGCACAGGAUUACCGAAUACCCGAACCUGCUUUCAAGAAUAAGGCAAGAAGUCUUUGAAACCCAUUCCUCUUGAACAUUUCUCUCUGCUCAUGGUGUCCCAAUUAACCCAUUGCAUCCUGCGUUCAUGUUAUUUUUGCCCCCACCAAAAUAUCAUCAUCAUUUUAUGCAACUCUUCAAGUAGAGAAUCAAGGACCUUAAAAUAGCUUAAUGAAUAAAUCGGAAUAGCAGUACCUAUAGCCUUGAUCAGCACCUCUCUCCCACUAGUUGAUAGUAGGUUCCUCUUUCAUUGGUUUAACUUCUUAGAGACUUUGUCUUUAAUGUAAGAAAAGCAGGAAAGUCACAAUUUAGAUUUUGGAGCAUAUUCUUAUCAAAGAAAAUAGCAGACUUAUUAUAAUUAAUUACCUGCCCACUUAAGCUGCUAUAAUCAUGUAGUAAACUGAUUAGAUUAACACAUUUGUUCUAGUUGGCCUUGCUAAAUAAAAGAGAGUCAUCCGUAAAAGGUAGGUGGUUGAUGGUAGGACAUCUGCUGUUCAGUCAAAGCCCAUGAAAUAGGUUAUUCUAUUCACUCUUGUGGAGUAAGAAGGAAAGACCUUCUACACAAAUUAGAAAAACGAUAGGGAGAUAGAUGAUCGCCUUGACGAAGCCCUCUAGUCGGCUUAAAGAAGCCAAAGGGACAGUCGUCCAAAAUAACAGAAUAAGAGCUAGUAGAAACACAUUCUUUCAUCUAACAAAUCCACUUAGCACAGAAACCCAGUUUCUCCAUCAUAAACCAUACAAAAUUCCAUUCCACCCUGUCGUAUGCCUUGCUCAUAUCAAGCUUGAGAGCCAUAUCACAAUCACCAUAAGAUUUAUUUUUCAUAAAAUGCAUGCAUUUGUGGGCUACCAUAAUAUUAUCACUAAUCAAUCUUUCUCUAAUAAUAAACGCACUCUUGACUGUCGCUGAUGAUUUGAUUCAUAAGAGGUUGAAGGCGGUGAACAAGAACUUUAGAAAUGAUUUAUAGAAAACUGUGCUCAGGAAUAUGGGUCUGAUCUGGUUCAUUGUCAUAGCAUUAGAAAUUUUUGGAAUUAGGUAUAUCUGGGUGUGGUUGAAGCCUUUGAGGAUUUUACUGCCCCCAAAAAAAUUCUUAACCACACAGCAGACAUCCUGCUUAACUAUGUUCCAAUAAUUCUAAAAAAAUCUACCUGUAAAUUCAUCCUCCCCAGGGCUGCCUCUGGGUAACUGAAAAUACUGCGAGUUUGAUUUCCUCCUCACUAACCGGUCGAGUUAGGUUUCGGUUUGUAGAGGCUGAAAUUUUCCUUUUGAGGCCUUCCAACAUUAUAGAGGGGUCUUGGGGUUGAACAGUGGUGAAUAAUUCCUCAAUUACAUUCUAGUCCUCUCUCCAAUAGCUUCAGAUGUUGUACACCAAUGCCCAUCUUCAUCUUCAAGCUGCCAGAUUUUGUUCUUUCUAUUUUGCUGCUGAUUUUUGGAGUGGAAGAACCAAGUAUUUUGGUCACCCCAUUUAACCACUGUAUUCGAAAUUUUUCCUUCCAAUAGCAUUCCUCUUGAAGGUAGGCAUUUGUUAACUCUUCCUCCAGCAUUAGUAUCUCUUCUUUGUUCGCUGUCCCCGGUGUGCUUUUCAGAACUUCCAACAUGUUUUCAAUUCUUUCCAUGGCCUUUUGAGCAUUUUCAGUACCUGACGCUUGCCAAAAGAAUAUCUCAUAUCUUUUGUUUUUUUAAUUUCUGAAAUAAUUAGAACAUAGUUGUACCUUCUUCGGUUACCAUUCUCUGAGUAUCUUUGAUAAUUCUGUCUAUUACUCCCUCUCCGCACCACCUUUCUUAGAAUCUGAAUCUUUUCUUAAUUUGCAUGUGCAGAUUUAGUAGAAAGGAAAAAUAAGAACACCGUUGAACUUUUUUCUAAUUAAUCUCUCUUGACAGUAUCUAUUCCACUGUGUGAAUUUUUCACCAGUGAAAUUCAUAUCAAUCAAGUUACAUUCAUUGCAAAAAUUGACAAAAUUCUUAAUUGAUUGCGGUGCUUUUACUCUUCCUUCCUCUGUUUUAUGAUUAACCAUGAUAGCGUUGUAGUCUCUGAUAAUCAUGUACCUAUCUCCCAGCUUUGAAAUCAUCUAAAGUAUCUCCUCAUAUUGAUGAGAUUGAACCUGGUCGAAACUGUGAAUGAAUACUCAGUACAGCCCAAAUUGCUUGCUUCUCCGAAUUCUUCUACGGUAAAGUAGAUGUAAAAUUCUGCUUUACCUUUUACUUCCACCUUAAUCCCUUCCUUCCAAGCCAACGCUAAUCCUCCUGCUAAUCCCAUAGGAUUGACACAGACACAAUCCUUGAAACUACAAUUCCUCAACCUUUCCUCCACAAACAAGGUUUGAUGUUUGGUUUUACAUAGAAACAUCACCUAAGGGAAAUAGGAUCUCUAGAUCCCUUUUAUGUUUGAACCCCUAGGGGUUUUUCCUAACCUCGGCAGUUGACAUUAGAGUUCUCAUGAGACCGUGGGUGCCUUUUUGGGUUGGCACCCUUUUUCCAGUCAACAUUUACCACUUCUGCAUCACCUUAAUUACCCAACAGCACCUCCCUCUCCUCUUCUCAGUCUUCCUUUUAACUCUAAUAAUGCUACUACUGCCUACUCCAAUAUAUGAGUUCCUUUCUAGAUGUUUGAGUUUCUGUUUUUUCUUUUGUUUCCAGCAAUAACAUGUGAAGCACCCACCUGAAAACUCCUGAAUUCUAUUUCAUUCACCUUUUUAUUAUUGUCUUGGUUCCUUUCUAUUUCUGUAGACCCUCCCAUAGCAUUUAGAGUUGCGUCAUCCUCUGCUACUGCAUCUAAUCCCUAGGCCUUAUUUUUACCAGUGAUUGAAAGGUUUGCAAAACUAUUUAAUAGAUUCACUUGGGUAGGUCUUUUACCAAACUAUUCUGAACUUCCAUUCCUCCUUUUAAGGUUUGGGUUGUUGUUUUCUUUUGAGUUUUCUAGCCUCCACCGCACGCUUAUAGCUUUCAGAUCACUCCUUCAUUUCAUCUCUAGUUUCUGAUUCUGUCCAAAAUUAUCAAGAUAUCUAUUGCAAUUUCGUGUCUCAUGACCAAGAAAACCACAAAAAGUUGCAAUAAACACCCAAUCGUUCAUAUUUAAGUAGAAUUUCAGAAACAAUUUUAUCAGGGCUUACCACCUUAAUUGAUUGACGCAAUGGGAGAAUAACAUUCAAAGACACUCGCACCUUUAUGAUUUUCUUUCGGUUCCUCAUGAUAAAGGUAUCAACCUCUAUCACCUCCCCAAGUCUUUUUCCAAUUUUCUUGGCUGCUUCUUUAGUUUUAUAGAAUUUCGGUAAACCCCAUAUUUGGAUUCACAUCGGUGUCCUUGAAAAAUCUUCCUAAUUAAUCUUUAUAUCUGUCCUUCACCUUCUGAGGUGAAUCAGAAAUUGUUUAAAGAGCCAGGGAGAGCCAAUUUUCACCCUGAUCAAAUCAACCUCCUUUGCAAAGAAAAAUGAGUAUACAUUUUCUCCAUGUGUUUUGAUUUGAAACCCUUAGGGGUGAUUUCAGAUUGCAGUAAACACUCCCUUCAAUGUACCCAUGUCAAACUCUUGUCCGUCAUUCUAUGCCCGAUUAAGCUCCGUGAACAGUCCUCCAUACCUUCCUUUAUAUCUUCUUCCUCCAGAAACACCAAUUUCUCUUCCAUAUCUUAUAUGGAUUCGGGUAUCUUAGAUUCUCUCUUUUUACAAUUUGAUAUUGUAUGUUACUCACUCUGUUUUUUAACUUCCUAGUUUACGAAACUGAAUUUUCAUGCAAUGGGAUUCGCACUCACUCUCAUGUACACAAAAUUUUAGUAGGGCACACUCACUCUCAUGCACACAAAAUCCUAGCAGAGCACGUCUUUACAAAACGAUAACAUUGCAUUGUAUAUAUAAUUUAUUUGUAUAAUACUUUAUAUUAUGUAUAAUUUUGAUUCUCGAGUAAUUUUCUUAGGGUA
This is a long non-coding RNA of Arachis stenosperma, 4690 nucleotides long. RefSeq lists it as uncharacterized. The record is from RefSeq and is a predicted model, not a curated record. NCBI's taxonomy places the organism in Eukaryota, Viridiplantae, Streptophyta, Magnoliopsida, Fabales, Fabaceae. The transcript has 3 exons.